RNAcentral lists this ribosomal RNA (832 nucleotides) under uncultured bacterium. RNAcentral describes it as "bacterial SSU rRNA". It matches the Rfam family "Bacterial small subunit ribosomal RNA", at positions 63 to 879 of the family's 1533-position model. The record is from RNAcentral.
CGAGGGGCAGCGGGGGUGCAGGCUUGCCUGCACCUGCCGGCGACCGGCGCACGGGUGAGUAACACGUAUGGAACCUGCCCGCCACAGGGGGAUAACCCGGGGAAACCCGGCCUAAUACCCCAUGCCGCCCGGACCGGGCAUCCGGACCGGGCGAAAGGAGGAAUCCGGUGGCGGCUGGGCAUGCGGCGCAUUAGCUUGACGGCGGGGUAACGGCCCACCGUGGCGACGAUGCGUAGGGGUUCUGAGAGGAAGGCCCCCCACACUGGAACUGAGACACGGUCCAGACUCCUACGGGAGGCAGCAGUGAGGAAUAUUGGUCAAUGGGCGGAAGCCUGAACCAGCCAAGUCGCGUGAGGGAAUAAGGCCCUACGGGUCGUAAACCUCUUUUGCCGGGGAGCAAGGGCCGGGACGAGUCCCGGUCCGGAGAGUACCCGGAGAAAAAGCAUCGGCUAACUCCGUGCCAGCAGCCGCGGUAAUACGGAGGAUGCGAGCGUUAUCCGGAUUUAUUGGGUUUAAAGGGUGCGUAGGCGGGCUUUUAAGUCAGCGGUAAAAAUUCGGGGCUCAACCCCGUCCGGCCGUUGAAACUGGGGGCCUUGAGUGGGCGAGAAGAAGGCGGAAUGCGUGGUGUAGCGGUGAAAUGCAUAGAUAUCACGCAGAACCCCGAUUGCGAAGGCAGCCUUCCGGCGCCCUACUGACGCUGAGGCACGAAAGUGCGGGGAUCGAACAGGAUUAGAUACCCUGGUAGUCCGCACAGUAAACGAUGGAUGCCAGCUGUCCGGGCCGAAUGGGGCCUGGGUGGCAAAGCGAAAGCGUUAAGCAUCCCACCUGGGGA